GUUACUGCUAUCGAGGUUCGACUAAGCCAUGCGAGUCGAAUGUAGCAAUACAUGGCGAACUGCUCAGUAACACGUGGACAACCUGCCCUUAGGUUGGGUAUAAACCCGGGAAACUGGGUAUAAUACCCGAUAGGUCUCGAUUGCUGGAAUGCAUCGAGAUUUAAAGCUCCGGCGCCUAAGGAUGGGUCUGCGGCCUAUCAGGUAGUAGUGGGUGUAGCGUACCUACUAGCCUACGACGGGUACGGGUUGUGAGAGCAAGAGCCCGGAGAUGGAUUCUGAGACACGAAUCCAGGCCCUACGGGGUGCAGCAGGCGCGAAAACUUUACAAUGCUGGCAACAGCGAUAAGGGAACCUCGAGUGCCAGGUUACAAAUCUGGCUGUCGAGAUGCCUAAAAAGCAUUUCAUAGCAAGGGCCGGGCAAGACCGGUGCCAGCCGCCGCGGUAACACCGGCGGCUCGAGUGGUAACCGUUAUUAUUGGGUCUAAAGGGUCUGUAGCCGGCCGGAUAAGUCUCUUGAGAAAUCUGGCAGCUUAACUGUCAGGCUUUCAGGAGAUACUGUCUGGCUCGAGGCCGGGAGAGGUGAGAGGUACUUCAGGGGUAGGGGUGAAAUCUUGUAAUCCUUGAAGGACCACCAGUGGCGAAGGCGUCUCACCAGAACGGACCUGACGGCAAGGGACGAAAGCUAGGGGCACGAACCGGAUUAGAUACCCGGGUAGUCCUAGCCGUAAACGAUACUCGCUAGGUGUCGGCCACGGUGCGACCGUUGUCGGUGC
This 773-nucleotide ribosomal RNA is filed under the name uncultured Methanosaeta sp. RNAcentral's name for it is "bacterial SSU rRNA". It matches the Rfam family "Archaeal small subunit ribosomal RNA", at positions 23 to 801 of the family's 1478-position model. The record is from RNAcentral. Lineage: Archaea; Methanobacteriati; Methanobacteriota; Methanomicrobia; Methanotrichales; Methanotrichaceae.